CAGAGUUGCAAAACUCCCUUACCACCAUCGCGAACAGACCCCGAAACAGUUGCUUCGGCGGGAGGCAGUCCCCCCCUUCACCGGGGGCGGCCGGCCGCGACGCCCGCCGGAGGUACCCAAACUCUUUGUUUUAUAGGCCUCUCUGAGUCUUUGUACUGAAUAAGUCA
Molecule: unclassified non-coding RNA, 167 nt
Filed under: soil metagenome
Description: partial internal transcribed spacer 1
Source: RNAcentral